GCCAUCUUGGCAUGGCCUUCUCAUCCCACCACACAUCACUACUUGAUAUUUUUAUAGUUUCCUUUUUUCCUUAAGCAGAAUCAAUUUUCCAUGUGGAUAGAAAUUUUUCAGGCAAGUGUAGCACUGGGAAAAGUUCUACAGAUAUCUCUACCAAUUGCCCUGUGACUUAAGGUGACUUCCUUGAAAGAUGUCAAGAAGUCAUCAUGGACAUUUGCUUUACAACUCCUGAGAAAGUUUUCACAGUUCUGUUUUCCUGCCUUCUGUUCAGGAUGUUUAAAAAAGUUUGGCCUGAAAAAUCGCUUUAGACUCUCAAAAAUCUUCUGUUCUAUACAAAUUGUAGUUGCUCAAAAAACGUUGCUUCAAUUGAAUUAAAAGGUUUAUUCUAACGAUUUUUCUGGGAGUCACAAAAACAGUAAAGAAACGUAAUUUUCAAAAUUAAUUUAAUCUCUUUGUAAGUCAUCAUAUUAUGUUUGUGAAUAAUUCCCAUGGACUCUUGACAAUAAACCACUUCAAUUAAUUAUACA
RNAcentral lists this long non-coding RNA (524 nucleotides) under Oryctolagus cuniculus (rabbit). Its description in RNAcentral is "lncRNA (ENSOCUG00000032663.1)". The record is from RNAcentral. Lineage: Eukaryota; Metazoa; Chordata; Mammalia; Lagomorpha; Leporidae.